CAGCAUACCCAGAAGCUACAGAGAUGGAGAGAGAGGAACAGAACAAACAAACAAUGCGCUCAUCCACAACAUUGAUAAGUAUAAUAAUUAUUGUAUCUCUCAAAUAUGAACAUUGACAAGUGUGAAAUGCAUGCACCAAGACAGAAGUUAAAUUGUGUGUCGACCCACAUUGUUAACUUAUGGUAUAAUGGCGCAGGGAGGAGUGAUGAAUAUGUGUGUGCGUUAAAGAACCAAAUGCUGCCCGCGGCCAGUGACGGACUUCUACGUCACACAAUCGAUAUGCUGAUAGAAUUUAGGGAGCCUUGUUUUAAGAUUAGCCUUGUUAAAAUCCCCAGUUACAAUAAAUACAGCCUCAGGAUAUGUGGUUUCCAGUUUACAUAGAGUCAAAUGAAGUCCAUUCAGGGCCGUCGAUGUGUCUGCUUGGGGGGGAUAUGCGGCUGUGAUUAUAGUCGAAGAGAAUUCUCUUGGUCGGCAUUUCAUUGUGAGGAAUUCUAAGUCAGGUGAACAGAAGGACUUGAGUUCCUGUAUGUUGUUAUGAUCACACCACAUCUCGUUAAUCAUAAGGCAUACACCCCCGCCCUUCUUCUUACCAGAAAGAUGCUUGUUUCUGUCGGCGUGAUGUGUGAAGAAACCAGCUGGCUGUACCGACUCCGAUAGCGUGUCUCGAGUGAGCUAUGUUUCCAUGAAACAAAGAAGGUUACAGUCUCUGAUGUCUCUCUGGAAGGCUACCCUUCUCCUCUGAAUGGCCUGUCAAAUUUUGCGAAAAGCACAAACCCAGACAGAAUGCAAGUAGAGUACCUAAGUAGCUGCAGUUCGGAAGAAGCUCUUUACCACACACUGGCAAGAGACGCACUGAUUGUUUCGUUAUGGUCUAAGAUAUUACGGUAAAGAUUAUGAAACAGUGUGUAUCUUUUUUCUCUUCAUAUUUGGGAUUCAACAGAACAACAGGAAUGUGUACUCGUCACAAAGAACUGUUCAAUCAAGUGGUCACUAAAUAUUUUAAGCAGAUCACUGUGUGUGUGUGUGUGUGUGUGUGUGUGUGUGUGUGUGUGUGUGUGUGUGUGUGUGUGUGUGUGUGUGUGUGUGUGUGUGUGUGUGUGUGUGUGUGUGUGUGUGUGUGUGUGUGUGUGUGUGUGUGUGUGUGUUGUCAUGACGUUGCCUGUUGGGUAAGGUUUAUGACCCCCCCCAUAAAUACCUUUCCCCCUUUUCUCUCCACUCUACAGAAUGGACUCUUGGAAAGCCCUUUGUUAACAUAGAGAGAGUAUGGUAACAUCAAAAGGUUGGGGAAUGAAACAAUAUCUCCAUUUCUCAACCAGUUGAAAGUGUCCGAUGGUACCUAAAGAAUAUGAUGUCAGAGCAGUUGGUGUCUGGGACAUUAUAUCUUGAUGAUCGGAUCACAUAAAUUGUAUCGGAAAGUCUAUUGGAAAGUCUACACAAUCUAGUUAUCAGAUUCACAUGGAAUUGUUAUGCAAUUGAAACUAUUUGUGAAAGGAUGAAAAAAUGUAAGUUUAGCUUCUAAAUGAGUUGUUUUCAUAAGUAAACUAUGCUCAAUCAGUGGCCACGCCCAAGUGAACAAACAUUGGUUGAGAACUAUGAAACACGCCCUUCUCUGCCACAGUACAAAAGCCCGUCGACAGAAGUCAACCUUAGUUCCAGAUGACGUGAGGAAUGGUGUUCAUAAGUUUAAAAAGGCUAAUUUCAACUACAACCUAACGACAUUUAGUUCCAGAAAUGUUAGGACUGCUGUCUUAACGUUUAAAAGGGCAAUUUUCAAAGUGGAGCUGACGAUCACCACGCUGGAAUGGUGAAUUUUGACUAAACCAGCCAGAAUGCAGCACAAGCUGAUGAUGGGAACUUGGUAUGAACUUUGAGCGAUUAUUCACUAAAGAAGUGAUAUGUUCUAGAUGUCGAGUUAUCAGCUGCAGCUGUAAACGUACUUGGCCUAGAAAAGGACGGACAAUCUCCAAAGAACGACAGGGUACUUUAACGUAUCCACUCUACAACACUACGAGCAGAAAUAUUAAUCAAAGGACAAUGUGGGUCUCUGCUGGGUAAGCCAGUCUUCCUUCUUCGAACCAUCUAUCGAAGGGCAGCUCAGAGUAAAUAGAAAUAUUGCAUUUUCCUUUUCCGAAUGGGCGGGUAUUAGAGUGCAUAAGAUUCUGUAUUUAUGGUAGCAUAGCUUCUUAAGGUCCAAUAGACCCAAUCCCUUCCUUUGUGUAACCAGCAGUCAUAUCGGGUUAGCCCACUGGGGGCUUUUCAUGAUUAGUAAUCGAUGUGUGAUCUAUCCUGUGUAUAUAUAUAUGUAAUUCUGUGUGACUAUUUAGUAAAUAAAUAAUUAAGCUAAUUUGUGUAUUGCUGAUGAAUGCCUCCAUGGUGCCCCAGGUUAUUAAUGGUUUAAUUGUUGCAUGGUUUAAUUCAAUCACAUAAUCAAUUAAACGUUAGGUAAUCGAUUUUAUAAAAUAGCAUGUCAUAUAAUUUAAUCAUAGUCAGACACGGCAGUGUUUAUUAAAAAAAACGACUUCUUUGGAUUCCAGGAUCAUCGCCCAUUUACUCAGUGAUCCUCUACGUAUCAGAAAGCUCUUGAGCACUCUAAAUAAACGUUCAAACGAAGGCUGAGAGCCAGUGCUUUGGAACAGGAUUCAAACUAAAUUCAAUGCCCUGGCAUCACAAUACACUUGACUUAAUUGAGCUACAUAAUCAAUUUUAGGAUGAUUUGGACAUGAAACAUGAAAAAUGCUAAUAUCGGGAUAUUAACUUGCAUUGAAUUUGUACCACAAAUGCAAAAAGUUAGCAUUUGGAGACAUUGGCCUGGUGAGUAACCAAAGUAUGGAUUGCUGUCUUACGAUGCGCACACUUCAAUGAGGCCAAAGUCUGUGUGUUGUUGUGAUCAACACAAUCUCACACUCAAUUCGUGGAAAAAUGUACAAAAAGUAUUUCAGCAGAUUGCAUGUGUUUUUGUGUGGCUUAAUUUGUGUGAAAAUACACACAUUUUUGUGAGACUUAAUUCAUAAGAAAGGACACACAAAAAAUGUGUAACUUCAUUCAUAAGAAAAUGUAUUUUUGGGGGGCAAACUUCAGAACAAUCUUUUGAAAGUUGUUGGAGCAAUGCAUUUUGCGCAAUGGUGUUCUACACUGCCUUUUUUUGUAUCCCACAUUUAUUUAUAUAAAAAAACAAUGGUGUUAAUAACCCAAAAUUGUUAAUCAGCCAGGUUGUCACCGAAAUACAUAUAGUACAAUAGUAGUCUAAUUUAAAAAAAAAAAUAUAUAUAUAUAUAUAUUCCUCCAUGCAGAUCUCCUCUAGAGCAGUGAUGUUUUGGGGCUGUUGCUGGGCAACAUGGACUUUCAACUCCCUCCAAAGAUUUUCUUUGGGAGGAAUGGGCCAAAAUACCAGCAACAGUGUGUGAAAACCUUGUGAAGACUUACAGAAAACGUUUGACCUCUGCCAUUGCCAAAAAGGGUAUAUAACAAAGUAUUGAGAAACUUUUGUUAUUGACCAAAUACUUAUUUUUCACCAUAAUUUGCAAAUAAAUAAAUUAAAAAUCCUACAAUGUGAUUUUCUGGAUUUUUUUCUCCAAUUUUGUCUGUCAUAGUUGAAGUGUACCUAUGAUGAAAAUUACAGGCCUCUCUCAUCUUUUUAAGUGGGAGAACUUGCACAAUUGGUGGCUGACUAAAUACUUUUUUUGCCCCACUGUAACUAGCAACAAUGACAAGAAGCUGCUAUGUGGGGAAUCGUAGGUGGCUCAUUUCAGCUAGUUUUGUCUUGUUCUUGAUACCAUAUCUUGUUAUGAGAUGUUUUGACUGAUGUCACAUCUAUACAAUAUGGCAAAAUGUUGCUAGCUAGCUAACCAACAAUGUAACAAUGUACUUACAGAGAAC
Molecule: long non-coding RNA, 3876 nt
Organism: Oncorhynchus tshawytscha (Chinook salmon)
Lineage: Eukaryota; Metazoa; Chordata; Actinopteri; Salmoniformes; Salmonidae
Source: Ensembl